Molecule: ribosomal RNA, 712 nt
Filed under: uncultured bacterium
Lineage: Bacteria
Description: bacterial SSU rRNA
Rfam family: Bacterial small subunit ribosomal RNA
Source: RNAcentral
UGCAGUCGAGCGGCAGCACGGGAGCUUGCUCCUGGUGGCGAGCGGCGGACGGGUGAGUAAUGCCUAGGAAUCUGCCUGUUAGUGGGGGAUAACUCGGGGAAACUCGAGCUAAUACCGCAUACGUCCUACGGGAGAAAGUGGGGGACCUUCGGGCCUCACGCUAACAGAUGAGCCUAGGUCGGAUUAGCUAGUUGGUGGGGUAAAGGCCUACCAAGGCGACGAUCCGUAGCUGGUCUGAGAGGAUGAUCAGCCACACUGGAACUGAGACACGGUCCAGACUCCUACGGGAGGCAGCAGUGGGGAAUAUUGGACAAUGGGCGCAAGCCUGAUCCAGCCAUGCCGCGUGUGUGAAGAAGGUCUUCGGAUUGUAAAGCACUUUAAGUUGGGAGGAAGGGCUCUUGGCUAAUACCCGAGGGUUUUGACGUUACCAACAGAAUAAGCACCGGCUAACUUCGUGCCAGCAGCCGCGGUAAUACGAAGGGUGCGAGCGUUAAUCGGAAUUACUGGGCGCAAAGCGCGCGUAGGCGGUUUGUUAAGUUGGAGGUGAAAUCCCCGGGCUCAACCUGGGAACUGCCUCCAAAACUGGCUGACUAGAGUACGGUAGAGGGUGGUGGAAUUUCCUGUGUAGCGGUGAAAUGCGUAGAUAUAGGAAGGAACACCAGUGGCGAAGGCGACCACCUGGACUGAUACUGACGCUGAGGUGCGAAAGCGU